GGAUGUGAGGGUGAUAGGAUCUCCACUGAUCACCAGGAUUGAUCUGACUAGGCAGGGGUCCUAAACCUCCCUCACCACUCCAUGUGCAUUCCUCCCUACAGCAGUGUGCUCUACCAAAAAGGACAAGCUUCCCCAAUGGAGGAGGAUAGCUCUUUGCUCAAGGGUAAAAGAGUAGCUGUUCCCCUGCUAGAACCUCCAAACAGAUUCUCAAAGAACUCAGAUUCAACAGAAGGAAAAUGAACGACCCAAAAAAAUGAGU
Molecule: unclassified non-coding RNA, 259 nt
Organism: Ictidomys tridecemlineatus (thirteen-lined ground squirrel)
Lineage: Eukaryota; Metazoa; Chordata; Mammalia; Rodentia; Sciuridae
Gene: 7SK
Rfam family: 7SK RNA
About the family: 7SK was discovered as an abundant small nuclear RNA in the mid-70s but a possible function has only recently been suggested. Two independent studies have found that 7SK RNA binds the CDK9/cyclin T complex (known as elongation factor P-TEFb). P-TEFb activates transcription by phosphorylating the C-terminal domain of RNA polymerase II.
Source: Ensembl